Molecule: ribosomal RNA, 1587 nt
Filed under: Nestor notabilis (Kea)
Lineage: Eukaryota; Metazoa; Chordata; Aves; Psittaciformes; Psittacidae
Description: 16S ribosomal RNA
Rfam family: Bacterial large subunit ribosomal RNA
Source: RNAcentral
AGCCUAUUCUAGCCCCCAAUCAACCCCCAAUCAAAAACCUACCGACCCCCACUAAACUAAAACAUUACCCAUCAACCUAGUAUUGGUGAUAGAAAAGUACCAACCUGGGCGCUAUAGAAAAAGUACCGUAAGGGAAAGAUGAAAUAGUAAUGAAAAUCAAGCAACAUACAGCAAAGAUAUAUCCUUGUACCUCUUGCAUCAUGGUUUAGCGAGAAUUGAACAAGCAAAACGAAUUUAAGCUUGUCACCCCGAAACCUAUGCGAGCUACUUACAAGCAGUUACCCUGAACAAACCCGUCUCUGUCGCAAAAGAGUGGGAAGACUUGUUAGUAGAGGUGAAAAGCCAAUCGAGCUAGGUGAUAGCUGGUUGCCUGCAAGACGAAUCUAAGUUCUCCCUUAACUCAUACCCACCGGGCAACUACCCCAACCCUUAUGUAACGAGCUAAGAGCUAUUUAAAGGGGGUACAGCCCCUUUAAAAAAGGACACAACCUCCACUAGCGGAUAANCCCCCCCCCCCCAUAAAUAAGUUGUGGGCCCUAAAGCAGCCACCCUUAAAGAGUGCGUCAAAGCUCUAAAAAGACAAAAAUCCAAUAAACAACGCGACUCCCUAUACCCCCAACAGGCCAACCUAUUCUUAUAGAUGAAUUAAUGCUAGAAUGAGUAACCAGGACAUCCCGUCCCCUCAAGCGCAAACUUGUAUUCACCAUUAACAGCACAGAAAUACUAACAUCCACAACACAAGCUCAAGUAUUACUUAUACCCUGUCAACCCAACUCAGGAGCGCACACUAGGAUGAUUAAAACCUGCAAAAGGAAUUCGGCAAAUCAAAGGCCCGACUGUUUACCAAAAACAUAGCCUUCAGCCAAACUAGUAUUGAAGGUGAUGCCUGCCCAGUGACACCACGUUUAACGGCCGCGGUAUCCUAACCGUGCGAAGGUAGCGCAAUCAAUUGUCCCAUAAAUCGAGACCUGUAUGAACGGCUAAACGAGGUCUUAACUGUCUCCUGCAGGUAAUCAGUGAAACUGAUCUCCCUGUACAAAAGCAGGGAUAAUCACAUAAGACGAGAAGACCCUGUGGAACUUCAAUAUCAAUGGUCACAACACAUCAAACAAAAACCUAUCAGGCCCACCAACUUACAACACUGACCAGCAUAUUUCGGUUGGGGCGACCUUGGAGAAAAACAAACCCUCCAAAGAUAAGACCAAAUCCCUUAACUAAGAGCAACACCUCAAUGUGCAAAUAGCAACCAGACCCAAUAUAAUUGACCAAUGAACCUAGCUACCCCAGGGAUAACAGCGCAAUCUCCCCCAAGAGCCCUUAUCGACGGGGAAGUUUACGACCUCGAUGUUGGAUCAGGACAUCCUAGUGGUGCAGCUGCUACCAAGGGUUCGUUUGUUCAACGAUUAAUAGUCCUACGUGAUCUGAGUUCAGACCGGAGCAAUCCAGGUCGGUUUCUAUCUAUGAUUAACCCUUCCUAGUACGAAAGGACCGGAAGGGUAGGGCCAAUACCUCAAGCACGCCCUUUCUUUAAGUGAUGAACUCAACUAAAUCACCAAAAGACUCCACCAUAUGUCCCAGAAAAGGACC